CCUACGGGAUGCAGCAGUGAGGAAUAUUGGUCAAUGGACGAGAGUCUGAACCAGCCAAGUAGCGUGAAGGAUGACUGCCCUAUGGGUUGUAAACUUCUUUUAUAUGGGAAUAAAAUGUUCCACGUGUGGGAUUUUGUAUGUACCAUAUGAAUAAGGAUCGGCUAACUCCGUGCCAGCAGCCGCGGUAAUACGGAGGAUCCGAGCGUUAUCCGGAUUUAUUGGGUUUAAAGGGAGCGUAGGUGGAUUGUUAAGUCAGUUGUGAAAGUUUGCGGCUCAACCGUAAAAUUGCAGUUGAAACUGGCAGUCUUGAGUACAGUAGAGGUGGGCGGAAUUCGUGGUGUAGCGGUGAAAUGCUUAGAUAUCACGAAGAACUCCGAUUGCGAAGGCAGUUCACUGGACUGCAACUGACACUGAGGCUCGAAAGUGUGGGUAUCAAACAGGAUUGGAUACCCUUGUAGUC
This 460-nucleotide ribosomal RNA is filed under the name uncultured bacterium. RNAcentral's name for it is "partial 16S ribosomal RNA". It matches the Rfam family "Bacterial small subunit ribosomal RNA", at positions 338 to 795 of the family's 1533-position model. The record is from RNAcentral.